Molecule: ribosomal RNA, 253 nt
Filed under: uncultured bacterium
Lineage: Bacteria
Description: partial 16S ribosomal RNA
Rfam family: Bacterial small subunit ribosomal RNA
Source: RNAcentral
UACGUAGGGUGCGAGCGUUAAUCGGAAUUACUGGGCGUAAAGCGUGCGUAGGCGGUUUUGUAAGACAGAUGUGAAAUCCCCGGGCUCAACCUGGGAACUGCGUUUGAGACUGCAAGACUAGAGUACGGCAGAGGGGGGUGGAAUUCCACGUGUAGCGGUGAAAUGCGUAGAUAUGUGGAGGAACACCGAUGGCGAAGGCAGCCCCCUGGGUCGAUACUGACGCUCAUGCACGAAAGCGUGGGGAGCAAACAGG